CCUACGGGAGGCUGCAGUGGGGAAUAUUGCACAAUGGGCGCAAACCUGAUGCAGCCAUGCCGCGUGUGUGAAGAAGGCCUUCGGGUUGUAAAGCACUUUCAGCGGGGAGGAAGGCGUUAAGGUUAAUAACCUUGGCGAUUGACGUUACCCGCAGAAGAAGCACCGGCUAACUCCGUGCCAGCAGCCGCGGUAAUACGGAGGGUGCAAGCGUUAAUCGGAAUUACUGGGCGUAAAGCGCACGCAGGCGGUCUGUCAAGUCGGAUGUGAAAUCCCCGGGCUCAACCUGGGAACUGCAUUCGAAACUGGCAGGCUAGAGUCUUGUAGAGGGGGGUAGAAUUCCAGGUGUAGCGGUGAAAUGCGUAGAGAUCUGGAGGAAUACCGGUGGCGAAGGCGGCCCCCUGGACAAAGACUGACGCUCAGGUGCGAAAGCGUGGGGAGCAAACAGGAUUAGAUACCCUUGUAGUC
This 465-nucleotide ribosomal RNA is filed under the name uncultured Klebsiella sp. RNAcentral's name for it is "bacterial SSU rRNA". It matches the Rfam family "Bacterial small subunit ribosomal RNA", at positions 338 to 795 of the family's 1533-position model. Lineage: Bacteria; Pseudomonadati; Pseudomonadota; Gammaproteobacteria; Enterobacterales; Enterobacteriaceae. The record is from RNAcentral.